GCGAAUCGCCCUUCGGGGUGCAGCAGGCGCGAAAACUUUACAAUGCGGGAAACCGUGAUAAGGGGACACCGAGUGCCAGCAUUAUAUACUGGCUGUCCAGGUGUGUAAACUACACCUGUUAGCAAGGGCCGGGCAAGACCGGUGCCAGCCGCCGCGGUAACACCGGCGGCCCGAGUGGUGAUCGUGAUUAUUGGGUCUAAAGGGUCCGUAGCCGGUUUGGUCAGUCCUCCGGGAAAUCUGACGGCUCAACCGUUAGGCUUUCGGGGGAUACUGCCAGGCUUGGAACCGGGAGAGGUAAGAGGUACUACAGGGGUAGGAGUGAAAUCUUGUAAUCCCUGUGGGACCACCUGUGGCGAAGGCGUCUUACCAGAACGGGUUCGACGGUGAGGGACGAAAGCUGGGGGCACGAACCGGAUUAGAUACCCGGGUAGCCCCAGCCGUAAACGAUGCUCGCUAGGUGUCAGGCAUGGCGCGACCGUGUCUGGUGCCGCAGGGAAGCCGUGAAGCGAGCCACCUGGGAAGUACGGCCGCAAGGCUGAAACUUAAAGGAAUUGGCGGGGGAGCA
RNAcentral lists this ribosomal RNA (565 nucleotides) under uncultured archaeon. RNAcentral's name for it is "bacterial SSU rRNA". It matches the Rfam family "Archaeal small subunit ribosomal RNA", at positions 313 to 878 of the family's 1478-position model. The record is from RNAcentral.